This 862-nucleotide ribosomal RNA is filed under the name uncultured bacterium. RNAcentral's name for it is "partial 16S small subunit ribosomal RNA". It matches the Rfam family "Bacterial small subunit ribosomal RNA", at positions 56 to 965 of the family's 1533-position model. The record is from RNAcentral.
UGCAGUCGNNCGAAGUAGCAAUACUUAGUGNCAGACGGGUGAGUAACAUGUAGGUAUCUACCCUUUGGCCUGGAAUAACACGAGGAAACUUGUGCUAAUACUGGAUAAGUCUUUACGGAGAAAGCUUUAUGCACCAUUGGAUGAGCCUGCACUUGAUUAGUUUGUUGGUAGGGUAAUGGCCUACCAAGGCUUUGAUCAAUAGCUGAUUUGAGAGGAUGAUCAGCCACAUUGGGACUGAGACACGGCCCAAACUCCUACGGGAGGCAGCAGUGGGGAAUCUUGCACAAUGGAGGAAACUCUGAUGCAGCGAUGCCGCGUGAGUGAAGAAGGCCUUUGGGUUGUAAAGCUCUUUCGUCGGGGAAGAAAAUGACUGUACCCGAAUAAGAAGGUCCGGCUAACUUCGUGCCAGCAGCCGCGGUAAUACGAAGGGACCUAGCGUAGUUCGGAAUUACUGGGCUUAAAGAGUUCGUAGGUGGUUGAAAAAGUUGGUGGUGAAAUCCCAGAGCUUAACUCUGGAACUGCCAUCAAAACUUUUCAGCUAGAGUUUGAUAGAGGAAAGCAGANUUUCUAGUGUAGAGGUGAAAUUCGUAGAUAUUAGAAAGAAUACCAAUUGCGAAGGCAGCUUUCUGGAUCAUUACUGACACUGANGAACGAAAGCAUGGGUAGCGAANANGAUUANAUACCCUCGUAGUCCAUGCCGUAAACGAUGUGUGUUAGACGUUGGAAAUUUAUUUUCAGUGUCGCAGCGAAAGCGAUAAACACACCGCCNGGGGNNUACGACCGCAAGGUUAAAACUCAAAUGAAUUNGACGGGGACCCGCACAAGUAGNGNAGCNNNNGGNUUNNUUNNNAAGAUACGCGCA